This 552-nucleotide ribosomal RNA is filed under the name Candida tropicalis. Its description in RNAcentral is "partial large subunit ribosomal RNA". It matches the Rfam family "Eukaryotic large subunit ribosomal RNA", at positions 50 to 607 of the family's 3401-position model. The record is from RNAcentral. Lineage: Eukaryota; Fungi; Ascomycota; Pichiomycetes; Serinales; Debaryomycetaceae.
CGGGAGGAAAAGAAACCAACAGGGAUUGCCUUAGUAGCGGCGAGUGAAGCGGCAAAAGCUCAAAUUUGAAAUCUGGCUCAUUCAGAGUCCGAGUUGUAAUUUGAAGAAGGUAUCUUUGGGUCUGGCUCUUGUCUAUGUUUCUUGGAACAGAACGUCACAGAGGGUGAGAAUCCCGUGCGAUGAGAUGAUCCAGGCCUAUGUAAAGUUCCUUCGAAGAGUCGAGUUGUUUGGGAAUGCAGCUCUAAGUGGGUGGUAAAUUCCAUCUAAAGCUAAAUAUUGGCGAGAGACCGAUAGCGAACAAGUACAGUGAUGGAAAGAUGAAAAGAACUUUGAAAAGAGAGUGAAAAAGUACGUGAAAUUGUUGAAAGGGAAGGGCUUGAGAUCAGACUUGGUAUUUUGUAUGUUACUUCUUCGGGGGUGGCCUCUACAGUCUAUCGGGCCAGCAUCAGUUUGGGCGGUAGGAGAAUUGCGUUGGAAUGUGGCACGACUUCGGUUGUGUGUUAUAGCCUUCGUCGAUACAGCCAGCCUAGACUGAGGGCUGCUGUUUAUACA